RNAcentral lists this ribosomal RNA (540 nucleotides) under uncultured bacterium. RNAcentral's name for it is "bacterial SSU rRNA". It matches the Rfam family "Bacterial small subunit ribosomal RNA", at positions 41 to 627 of the family's 1533-position model. The record is from RNAcentral.
GGCAUGCUUAACACAUGCAAGUCGAACGAGACCUUCGGGUCUAGUGGCGCACGGGUGCGUAACGCGUGGGAAUCUGCCCUUUGCUACGGAAUAACUCAGAGAAAUUUGUGCUAAUACCGUAUAAUGUCGUAAGACCAAAGAUUUAUCGGCAAAGGAUGAGCCCGCGUAAGAUUAGCUUGUUGGUGGGGUAAAGGCCUACCAAGGCGACGAUCUUUAGCUGGUCUGAGAGGAUGAUCAGCCACACUGGGACUGAGACACGGCCCAGACUCCUACGGGAGGCAGCAGUGGGGAAUAUUGGACAAUGGGCGAAAGCCUGAUCCAGCAAUGCCGCGUGAGUGAUGAAGGCCUUAGGGUUGUAAAGCUCUUUUACCAGGGAUGAUAAUGACAGUACCUGGAGAAUAACCUCCGGCUAACUCCGUGCCAGCAGCCGCGGUAAUACGGAGGGAGCUAGCGUUGUUCGCAAUUACUGGGCGUAAAGCGUGCGUUGGCGGCUAUUCAAGUCAGAGUGAAAGCCCUGGAGCUCAACUCCAAAACUGCCUU